AGCGAACGCUGGCGGCAGGCCUAACACAUGCAAGUCGAACGAAGUCUUCGGACUUAGUGGCGGACGGGUGAGUAACACGUGGGAACGUGCCUUUAGGUUCGGAAUAACUCAGGGAAACUUGUGCUAAUACCGAAUGUGCCCUUCGGGGGAGAGAUUUAUCGCCUUUAGAGCGGCCCGCGUCUGAUUAGCUAGUUGGUGAGGUAAAGGCUCACCCAGGCUACGAUCAGUAGCUGGUCUGAGAGGAUGACCAGCCACAUUGGGACUGAGACACGGCCCAAACUCCUACGGGAGGCAGCAGUGGGGAAUCUUGCGCAAUGGGCGAAAGCCUGACGCAGCCAUGCCGCGUGGAUGAUGAAGGUCUUAGGAUUGUAAAAUCCUUUCACCGGUGAAGGUAAUGACUGUAGCCGGAGAAGAAGCCCCGGCUAACUUCGUGCCAGCCGCCGCCGUAA
This 449-nucleotide ribosomal RNA is filed under the name uncultured bacterium. RNAcentral's name for it is "partial 16S ribosomal RNA". It matches the Rfam family "Bacterial small subunit ribosomal RNA", at positions 29 to 523 of the family's 1533-position model. The record is from RNAcentral.